AAAUCUUCUUUUUUCCUCUUGUAAAAGAGUAUUAUCUAAAUGGUUCUUGGCAGCUGAUGAUAAGAGCACAGCCUGUAAUACAUUUCUCCAAUUAAUCUCAGGCAAAAAGCCAGAUGUUACUGCUGUUCAGUUUCCCAAGCCUAUAGGAGAGCUUGGACUAUUUUUUUUUUCUCCUUUGUUUCUUACCACUACAGAGGUGGAGGGAGUCAGCAUUAACCUAAGUUUUACUAUAAGCAUUUGCUGAGAUACAAGGUAAAAUGGAAACAGCAUCCUCUUCACUGACUCUUCUGAAGAGGCUGGAUGUGGGACAUGCUGAGCCUGGGACUAUAUUCACUGAGAUGUACUUCCCUUUUGAGCUGACAGGAACUAGUGAAGCAGUGAAGUUGCUGUCACCGAAGGCAAGUUUUCCUAGUGGUGUAGUUUUAUGGAAAAUAUAUUUCUUACUAUUUCCGUUCCUCCUAUCUGAUGGGAUACAUUUUUAUUCUAAAGCGUGAUGGAAGGUCUACUUUUUCCCAGUCACUGCACAUAUUUAAAGAGAAUUUUAAGAGCAUAUGACAAGAUUUCAACUCUUGAAAACGUCAGGUGUAUCUACAGUGUGGAUGCUACACCACAUGGAUAGGAGCUCUUACCAAAGCCCUGCCUACUGUAAAUCCUUGCAAUUUCUGUGGAAUACAAGCACUGUCACUAUGUAGCUUAUGUUCUUUCAGCCUAACGUUAUUGUAUCUGGAACAAAUAUGGAAGGACUUGAUCAUUAAAUUAGAUUUUCAUGAGCUUCUGAGCAGAACAGUCCAGCUAAGGGUUUGCUAGUAAAUGCAUUUGCUUCUUUAACUGUGCAUACAAAACUAAACAGUUUCUGUCAAAAGCUGAAUGAACUAAACAGUAAAAAUAUAAUACUGGCAAUCUACCCCAGAUGAGUAUGUCUGGCAUCCUAAUGAAUACAGGCUUGUAUUAGACAUCAGAUUUUACAAGCUGUCUUAGAAUGACUGCCUUGUACUACUGCAUACACAUCAUUUUCUGUUGUCUCUGGUAUGCUGUACAUAGACUUGGUUAGUUUUUCAUUUGGUCCUCUUUGGUUGGAGGUACAAGACUUGUGAGAACCGUGAUAAUGAAGAAAGAGAAAAGCACUAUAUUAUGGGUGUUAAUCAUCUGCUUCCCACAGAAAAAGAAGCAAACAAAAAGAAUACUUCAGUAUUCUGCUUAGAGGAUAGUGCAAGAGUUAUAAGGAUAUAAUGUGCAUUCAAUGCUUUAAUUCAUCCAAAUUUAACUGAAUUUGAGAUUUAUUUUUUUUUUCUUCUCCUAUUAUUUUCAUGAGGUGAAUUGUUGAGAUACUUCUGAACAGGUCUCAUGAGCUUCAUGAGGUCUUCUUUGUUUGCUUCAAAAGACCACAGGGCAGAAAGGAACCACCUCAGGUAGGAGGAAGUAUUAUAAUAAUCCACGUGGCUUGAGUUUACAAAGAGAAGUAUAAGUGUUUGUCAGAUGUUUGGAACCAGUUAUCUCUUAUCCUGAAAUGAUUCCGGAACAUAGCUGUUUCCCUUGGGAUCCCCUUCUGAACAAGAGAUAUUGCCUAAGACUGAAAUGAAUUGGAAAACGAUGAGAGCUAAACUGAGUGUCACCUUUAAUCCUGUGAAAUGUAAACCACAAAUGUUGUCUUUUUUUUUUCUUUUUUUUUUUUUUCCCUAAAACAUUGAAAACCUCGCAGAGAUCUUCAAAUCUAAGAGAAUAAAACCAAAUUCCCUUACA
Long non-coding RNA from Coturnix japonica (Japanese quail), 1740 nucleotides. The record is from Ensembl. NCBI's taxonomy places the organism in Eukaryota, Metazoa, Chordata, Aves, Galliformes, Phasianidae.